AGAGUUCGAUUAUGGCUCAGGAUGAACGCUAGCGACAGGCUUAACACAUGCAAGUCGAGGGGCAUCAUGAGGUAGCAAUACCUUGAUGGCGACCGGCGCACGGGUGAGUAACGCGUAUGCAACCUGCCUGAUACCGGGGUAUAGCCCAUGGAAACGUGGAUUAACACCCCAUAGUACUUUUAUCCUGCAUGGGAUGUGAGUUAAAUGUUUAAGGUAUCGGAUGGGCAUGCGUCCUAUUAGUUAGUUGGCGGGGUAACAGCCCACCAAGACGAUGAUAGGUAGGGGUUCUGAGAGGAAGGUCCCCCACAUUGGAACUGAGACACGGUCCAA
Molecule: ribosomal RNA, 330 nt
Filed under: uncultured bacterium
Lineage: Bacteria
Description: bacterial SSU rRNA
Rfam family: Bacterial small subunit ribosomal RNA
Source: RNAcentral